UGAGCAAUCUGCCCUUCUCUUCGGAAUAAGCGUUGGAAACGACGUCUAAUGCCGAAUACGACCUCCUUUCGCAUGAUCGGAGGUGGAAAGCUCCGGCGGAGAAGGAUGAGCUCGCGGCCUAUCAGCUAGUUGGUGUGGGUAAUGGCCCACCAAGGCGACGACGGGUAGCCGGCCUGAGGAGGGUGACCGGCCACACUGGGACUGAGACACGGCCCAGACCUCCCGUACGGGAGGCAGCG
RNAcentral lists this ribosomal RNA (239 nucleotides) under uncultured bacterium. RNAcentral's name for it is "partial 16S ribosomal RNA". It matches the Rfam family "Bacterial small subunit ribosomal RNA", at positions 118 to 353 of the family's 1533-position model. The record is from RNAcentral.